GAAAGGUUGGAAAGCAAACGUUUUUGGAGAAUCAUCUUCCUUCGUUACCAACCUUGGGAGAUAGGCAAGAUGCAUUCAAUAUUUCUUUUGAAUGGGAUGAGAGUUUUGGAAUUCCAGGAGCAUUCUACAUCAAAAACUUUAUGCAAGCUGAGUUUUUCCUUGUGAGUCUCACUCUUGAAGACAUUCCAAAUCAUGGAACCAUUCACUUUGUGUGCAACUCCUGGGUUUACAACGCAAAAAAUUACAAAAAGGACCGUAUUUUCUUUGUCAACAAGGUAACUAACAUGAAAUUCAAGUACUAUUUUCCUAAACUUUCACAUAAUUUAGCCCAUUUUAAUGAAGAAAUUCAUCAAACAUGUUGCAGACAUAUGUUCCAAGUGAAACUCCAACUCCACUGGUUAAGUACAGAAAAGAAGAAUUGGAAAACCUAAGAGGGGAUGGAACUGGGCAGCGUAAGGUAUCUGAUAGGAUCUAUGAUUAUGAUGUGUAUAAUGAUUUGGGCAACCCAGACAAGAGUGCAGAUCUGGCUCGUCCUGUUCUUGGAGGUUCUAGUGCCUAUCCAUACCCUCGCAGAGGAAGAACUGGGAGAAAAGCAUCAAAAAGAGGUUAGGAUUUAAUUUUUCUAUUUUAGAUAAUCAAUUCCAAUGCAUGGUGAUAAAGUAAUUUGCCUCAAUGAAAUUGUACCUUGAUGUAGAGCUGUACUAUUAUAAGUUAGAUUUUUGUUUUUUGAAAGUGCAAUUACUUAUUAUUAUUAUUAUUAUCAUUAUCAUUAUGAUUGAGGAUACAAAAUUGAUUUUACUUUUAUUAACAGAUCCUAAGAGUGAGGCACCAGCCAGCGACACUUACAUUCCAAGAGAUGAAAAUUUUGGUCACUUGAAGUCAUCAGACUUUCUUACAUAUGGAAUAAAGUCCUUGGCUCAAAGUGUCUUACCUCAAUUUCAAUCUGCAUUUGGUUUAAAUGCUGAGUUUGAUAAGUUUGAUGACGUUCGUGGAUUCUUUGAAGGUGGAAUUCAUCUUCCUACAGACGUAAUAAGCAACAUUAGCCCCUUACCAGUGAUAAAGGAAAUCUUCCGCACUGAUGGUGAACAAGUCCUCAAGUUUCCACCACCUCAUGUCAUCCAAGGUAUUGUUUGCUUACAAGUCACAUAUAUAUCUCAAGUAAAAUCAACUGAAAUUACUUCACAUCCAAUAUUUAUCAUAUUUAACAUUUACAUGUUUUUCAUAUUAUUUGGAGCAGUUAGUAAGUCUGCAUGGAUGACUGAUGAAGAAUUUGGAAGAGAGAUGCUUGCUGGUGUUAAUCCUUGCCUAAUUCAACGCCUUCAAGUAAAUAAUGCUUUAUUGUUCAUUAAAUUGGAAUGAUUUGGUUUUCAUUUGAAUUAUAUUCGUUGUUUCUCAUGUUAAUUUACUGGCAAUGUUAUUUAAUGAAUGACAGGAGUUCCCUCCAAAGAGCAAGCUAGAUGCUUCUGUGUAUGGUGAUCAAACUAGCACAAUUACUAAAGAAAAUUUGGAGAUCAACCUUGGUGGACUCACUGUGGAAGAGGUGAAUGAUAUUUAUUAAUUCCAUGGCAAAAUGAUACAUGAAUCUCCAUUUAACCAUGACACUGAAUGUUUAUAAUGAUAUUUGUUCAACAGGCAUUGAAUGGUAACAAACUGUUCAUAUUAGAUCACCAUGAUGCAUUCCUACCAUAUCUGAGGAAGAUCAAUGACCUACCCACCGCAAAGUCUUAUGCCACAAGGACAAUCCUUUUCUUGAAAGAUGAUGGCACAUUGAAGCCAUUGGCUAUUGAAUUAAGUCUUCCACAUCCUAGGGGAGAUGAGUUUGGUGCUGUUAGCAGAGUUAUCUUGCCUGCAGACCAAGGCGCUGAAAGCACAAUUUGGCUAUUGGCUAAGGCUUAUGUUGUAGUAAAUGACUCUUGCUAUCAUCAACUCAUGAGCCACUGGUAUGCAUAAACUCUCCCAUUUGUCAUCACUUAUCAUAAACCAACUAUUAAGUGAUUCUUAAUUUAUUUGGUUUGCCAUAUCAUUUGAUCACAGGCUAAAUACCCAUGCCACAAUUGAGCCCUUUGUCAUAGCAACAAAUAGGCAUCUCAGUGUGCUCCACCCUAUAUACAAACUCUUGUCGCCUCACUAUCGUGACACCAUGAAUAUCAAUGGACUUGCACGACAAUCACUCAUCAAUGCAGGUGGUAUUAUUGAGCAAUCAUUUUUGCCCGGGCCAUUCUCUGUGGAGAUGUCUUCAGCAGUUUACAAAAGUUGGGUUUUCACUGAUCAGGCUCUUCCUGCUGAUCUUAUUAAGAGGUAAUAUUUAUGCAUUACUGUAAAAAUUUUCAAGUUAAAAUUGUUCAUUUAUUUCAUACCAACAUUGUGUGUCCUUUUAAUCUAUUUUCUGAAGAAACUUUAGUAAAUAUUAAAAGAUCUUGAUUUUUAUACAUUGUCAAUGUAAACCCAUUAUAAAUAACGUCAAGUAUUAUUUUAUGGUAUUGUGGUAGAAACUAACCAACUUAUCAUAAAUACAAUAUGUUAUUGGAUUAACAUAUAAAAGUCUUUUACUCUUUGUGCAUUAUGUAUAUUUUAUAUUUAAAAUGUUAAAAGCGAGUAUUGCCUUGUGGAAGUUAAAGACUGAUGAGAUAGUCAAAAUUCAUUUCAAUGAUAUUAUUUACUUAAGUAAAAUUGUUUUUUAUCUAAAAAAUGAAAGAGAAAUUUGGUGUUAACAACAAGUCCUUUGUUAUCUCCUUGAUUCAGAGGAAUGGCAAUUGAGGAUCCAUCCUCUCCACAUGGCCUUCGUCUAGUGAUUGAUGACUACCCUUAUGCUGUCGAUGGACUAGAGAUAUGGAGUGCUAUCCAGUCCUGGGUUAAAGACUAUGUCUCAUUGUACUAUGCCACAGAUGAUGCAAUUAAGAAAGACACAGAACUCCAAACUUGGUGGAAGGAAGCUGUUGAGAAGGGUCAUGGUGACUUGAAAGACAAACCAUGGUGGCCAAAGUUGAACACUCCUCAAAAUCUGAUUCACAUUUGCAGCAUUAUAAUAUGGACUGCUUCAGCUCUCCAUGCAGCUGUUAAUUUUGGACAAUACCCUUAUGGAGGUUACAUCCUAAACCGUCCAACUCUAACCAGAAGAUUGAUCCCAGAGCCAGGAACCAAAGAAUAUGAUGAGCUGAGCAGCAAUCAUCAAAAGGCUUAUCUGAGAACAAUUACAGGAAAAUAUGAGGCCAUUGUGGACCUUUCUGUGAUAGAGAUAUUGUCAAGACAUGCUUCUGAUGAGGUCUAUCUUGGACAGAGGGACAAUCCUAAUUGGACCGAUGAUACAAAGGCUCUUCAAGCCUUUCAAAAGUUUGGAAACAAACUGAAGGAAAUUGAGAAUAAGAUCUUAGGAAGGAACAACAAUUCAAGUCUCAGAAACCGUGUUGGGCCAGUUAAGAUGCCCUACACUGUGCUUCUUCCUACCAGUAAGGAAGGUCUCACUUUCAGAGGAAUCCCCAACAGCAUCUCUAUUUAAGGAGUCUACCUGUGUGGUUUAAUGUCUGUCCUACUUUAUCGCUCAAUACCAAAUAAUUAUGUUUGCUUGUCUCUGCAUAAUUGUCGGGUGUAUGCUUAAGUAAUGUAUGGGGAUCUUACAUGGUUCUCCUUUUAAUAAGAGUGGUAUCAUUUUGUGUUAAGUAUUGGGUUAUAUAAGUCUGAUAUCUCGGAUUUUGAAUAUCAAAUCAAAUUUCUCUCUGCCAUAUACAUUUUUAACAUAAACCUGUUGCAUGACUUUGAUUUGGGUAUCUAAAUUUCUACCUCAUAAAAAACAGAACAAGCUUCAUUUUUUUUUCCUUAAAUACUACUAAUAAUUAUUUUACUUUUUGAAGAAAAUAAAAAUGGAAUCAAGAAGAAGUAUUUUAAAAUAAAAGCAAAGAGAAAAAAUAAAAUAAUUGUAAUAAUAAAAAACUCUUUUCUACUUAUUGCAGUUCUGUUUCACUUUGCAUAUCCCUAGCCCGUCUCACUCUUUUCCUUUCCACACCCAUUUGCUUCUCUCCACGCACCCAUGCCACUCUUUUUUCUCACCCCAUUCUCAGUGCCACGCCGCCGCGCCGUCAACCGUUGCCAUCCAUCAUCAUCCUGCAUAUGUUUUUUAUUUUCCUCAUAUUUUUGGUUUCUUAUCACCUUUUCUCUCUCUUCAUUGAUUCAUACACUCAUAAAACAUAUUUAAAUGGCGGGUUCCACGUUUUUUUAUACAAACAAGAUAAAAUUAAAUUCAAAAUUCAAACAUAACAAAAAAAGAAUCUGAGCCCAUUCCGCAGCCCGACUUACGUUUUCUCACUGCACCCCUCCUUUACCGUCACACUCCUCUUAUUUCAAAACAAGGGAAAUCUGGGCACAUUCUGCUGGUCCAGCUACUUUUUACUUUCUGACCCCUUUGUCUACCUGCGCGACCCUCACUCAAAGCUUAACCAUAUUUACUCUAGCACGUUUUUUGUUUUUAAUUUUUAUUAAUAAAAAUUUGAAAAAUAAUAAAUAAAUUAGCAAGGGGCGACUCCUUCUUAAUUUUUUUUGUGUGAAAAUCUUAUUUUAUUUCGCAUCCCAUCGUUACCGCGAUAGAUCUUAAAACUAGGUUGUUGCCACUAUACAAUAACAAAGACACCACUAAUAAAGGUCUUAUAUCAAUCUUUGUGAAAAAGUUGUAUCGUGACACCAACAAUUUAUAUUUCUCUGUUGGUGAGAUGACCAUCACUUCGGAUGAUGUGCUAGUAUUGCUACAUCUUCCCAUUGUGGGAUAGUUUUUUUCGUAUAUGAUUUUGGAUUUUAAAUCAACUUUAUCAUUGUUGGUUGAGCUCUUUGACUUGGAGUUUGGUGAUGCUACAACAGAGUUGAGCGAGUGUUGUUGAUAUACAAACCAAAGGAUCAAGUUACCAAUCAAAAUAAAAAAAAACACGUAGAGGCAAAAUUAUAAGUAACUCAAGAUCAUACCUUCAAUUGAACCAGAGAUGACCAAACACAACAUCUUUAAAAAAGUAUUUAUUCAUAUGUCUCCAAAUCUCAACAAUAACUGCAAUCUAGAUACUUCCCCAAACAACAUUAACAGGUACAUUAAAAAGCAUUAAAAAGUUUGAAUUGGUGGAAGUGUGAAAGAGGAUCAUGAUGAUCUACCAAUGCCAACUCUAACCAAACAUAACAAUGGUUCCAAUCGAGCCAGACAAUUAAAAGUAAGAAAAAUCCCUUUAUAAAUUAACUAUUUCAUCUUGCACUCCUGCAAAAAAAAGUUGUUACUCCUCCAAAAGUCCACUUUAAUUAACAUAAGAACGUCUCCUCAAACCUACAAAACACACUGCUACAUCCUUCCUAAAGCAAGAGGUUGACUAUACAAAUUCUCUAAUAUGAAACAUUACUCCUUAACAUAUUUCAUACAUUCCAAUGAUUUCAUACACCAUUCAAAAUGAGAGAAAUCAGCAAAAAAAAAUUACAUGUAAUCCAAGUCUAGGUUUUUCUUUGUAAACCCUAAACCCAAAACAAGAAAUUAUGAGGUUUUGAAUUUGAAUUCUUUAGAUGUUUCAUGUUCAAGAAAUUGAUUAAGAUUUUUGAAGAUUUGGAUAUUGUGUUAUACUUUAACAACCCCAACUUUUAUGCUUAAAUUUAUGUGAGAUUAUAGUUAAUAAAUGAACUUGAGGUAGAUAAUUUAGUUUGCAUGUGAAAAUUUUACAAAAAUUGAGAAGUAAUGGAGUGAUUUCACGUUAACUAUGUUGAGUGGAGAUGUUUGUUGUUUCUAUGAUAAUAUUUUGAUUAUAUUGGAUAAUUUAAAUUCUUGAAAACCAGAGUUCUUGUAUGUGAAUAAGACUUUUAUAAGUUUAGAAAAAAUGGAGUUCUUAGGGUUAAACAAGUUAUUUUAUACUAUUUAAAUAUUAUUGUAUGAAAGAAUAUAAAAGAAACAAUAAAAAUAUUUGAGUCAUCGGUUUUGUUCAUGACUAAAGAAAAAUGUUACUUUUAAAUUUAUAAUCUAUAAUUUUAAUAAAGUUUAAGAAAACCAAUUUUUUUAAUAAAAUCGUAAAUUUCAAGUUCAUGAAGUUAAAUUUUUAAUUAAAUUAGUUGAUAGAGUGGUAUUUGUGAGUUAAAGUUUUAGUGUGAAGUCCUUUUAAUGAGGCACUUUUGCAAACUUCGAGUUGAAUAAGAUUAAGUUAGAUUAAAGCAUGAAAACUUUGCCUAUACUUAAUUUUAGAGAUCUAGUUAAGUUUAUGGUUUUGCAUAUUUUUGUUGAAGUGAAAUAUUUCUUAUUUAGCUUUUAUUUAGCGAAACUUUUCAAAAGAGAUAAAAGAUAAAUAUCUACUUAAAUAAAAUUUCUUUAGAAAGAAAUGAGAUUUUUUUAAGAAUUUUCCUCAACUAUAUAAAAAUUUGCUAAACGAAUUUAGAUACAACAUGAAGAAUGAAUUAUAUUUUAAAAAAACAACAGAUUAUAAUUGUGCUAAGUGGAUUUCUUAAAAAAAGUUCUUACUCUUUAUUACCUAAUAGGACUGUUCUCUUAAUUUUUUUAUUUAAUUUUAAUAUAUUUUAAUAAAAUUCAUUAUGCUUGUUAAAUUAUUGAGUGUUUAUUUAGGAUUGGUAUGUGGAUGUGAAAUCAUCGAGGUGAUUGAGGUGAGAUACUUAUUAUUAACAGAGUAAUAUUAUGAUGAUUUAAAUUUAAUUUAUAAUGUAAGUAUUAAAUUAUGAAACAUAAAUAUCUAUAUUUUUGUCUUAAAAGUAUAAUGAUAUUCAGGGAUAUAUCAUGUACGAAAAACUAAUGAAAGUUCCUACUACCUAUUUGAGCAUGAGUAGGAAUUUUGAGAAAAACAAUAUCAUGACUCAAAUUGAGAAAGUUGUUCCAAAUUAGAAUUUAUUAUCCUUAAACUAUGUUGGUUAUUAAUUCAGAUUUUAUUAUUAUUAAUUAUGAUUUUAUUACCCUUAAACUAUUUUACCGUUAUAUUCCAUUAAUUCUUAGUAGUCCAUGGUCUUACUAUUAAAAACAAGUUACAUGGCAAGUCAUCAACCUUUUUAUAAGAAAUAAAAUGAGUCAUUUUGGAAAAUCUUAAACAACCACGAGGAUAAAAUCUUUCUCCCAUUGAGUCUAUUGCAAACUUCCAUUGAAAUAUCAAGUCAAAAAUUAUUAGGAAAAGACAAAGGAAUGUACAAACCAUGUGGUUUCAUUAUUGAUUUGACCUUUUUACAAGUAAUGCAAUUUUUACAAAAUUUGUUCACAUCACAUUUCAUGUGAGGCCAUUAAUAAUGUUCAUACAAACUAUUUAAGGUAUUUUGAACCCCAAAGUGUCCCACUAACCCUCCCUCAUGUACUUCUCUAACUAAAAGAUCCUUAAUAGAACAUUUAGGCACACAAAAUCUUAUCUCUUUAAACAAAUAAUCAUUGUGCCUAAAAUAUCCAUUGGUGCUAAAAGUUUACGAGAAACAAAAGUUCCAGAAAAUUCAUAAUCAUGUGAAUAAAUUUCUUUCAAAAAUUUAAGACAAUUUUUUUGUUUGUUUAAAAAGUAGAAAUCAAAACAUGUCUUCUAGAUAAAACAUCAAGUACAAUAUUUUAUUUUCCUUUUUUUAUGCUUUAUGACAUACAAAAAUUAUUCUAAAACUUCAACUCAUUUGACAUGUCUUUUAUUUAAUUUUUGGCCUUUUAAAUAUUUUAAAGACUUAUGAUUUAUAUGAAUAAGAAAUUCUUUAUGUAAAAUAAAUAUGUCAAGUUUGUAACACUCUCACCGAGGCAUACAAUUGUUUAUCAUAAGUGGGAUAGUUUAGGGUGAUCCCUUUUAACUUCUCAUUAAAAUAAGCAAUUAAAUGACUUUAUUUCAUAAAAAAAAACCCUUAUACCCACAUUAGAUAAUGCACCACACUCAAUUUCAAAAGAUGUUGUGAAGUUUAGUAAUGCAAGAAUGUGAACAUUAGUCAAUUCAUGUUUAAGGGCAACUAAAACUUUUUCUUGUGUUUCCCUUUUGAAUGCGGGAAUAUUAAAUUUGAUCUUAUCCAAUCCCAGUUGUCUUUGUUCUCCUUCUUCUUCUUUUUUUCUCUCUUUUUAAACUUUUUUUUUUCUUUUACCCUUUGUUUUUAACUUUUUUUUUAACUUCUUUCCUUUAUCUUUAUACAUAUAAUUGAAAUUUCAUUUUAGAGUCUCACAAUCAUCACACAUAACACGCACAUGCACACACGAACCCACACACUCGCACACACACUCACACAAAUUGGAAAUUCACAGGAGACGAAUUGGAAUCAAUCAACAAUUUUAAGUUGAAAAGAAUAUCAAAUAAAUAAGGUGCCACAAAUAAGGUUUAAUAAGCCUAAUAAUGGUCAUCUAAAGAAUUAGUAAAUUCUUGAUAAUAUCAGAAGAUGCAAGGGAAUAAUCCUAACAAAGAAACUAUCACUCUUAUUUUGGCAAAAUAAUUAUUUUUUAUUCUGAAUUCUAAAAAUAUAUUUAUAGAUUUUGCUUCGUUUGUAAGUAAAUAAUGAGAUCUCACAUCACUACAAGAAAAUCACAAAAUAGAAAUUAAUAAUAAAUAGUUGCUAUAGUGACUAAAUUAGAGACCAUUUUAGAAAUUAAAAAAAAAUUGGUUUCUAAAUUAAUUUCUAUUAUUGUUAAAUAGUUUCUAAAUUGGUAAUGCAUCAUAUAUAAAUAAUGACAUUUUAUAGUAUAUAGGUGAGAGCAAACCUCACCUUAUAUUCUGAUUUUGUAAAAUUAAAUUAUACUUAUAAUCUACUUCUUAAUAAAUAAAAAUAAAAUAUAAUUUAUAUAUUUCAAAAAAAUAUAAUAUUGUCUUAAUAGUUAGAUUAAGACAUUUUGAUUCUGGAUUCAAAUUCUAACCCUAACUAAAAUAUUAAUCAGUAUUUUAGCAGUUCAAGCAUGUGUUUUUUCUAAGUCUUUUAAAUACUUCAGAUAAGAUUAUUAAAAUAAUUUGAGGAGAAGAAGAUAAGACACCAUUAUUGUCCUUGGAAGCAAAACAAGUGGAAGACAAGAGUGUAGGGGAGGGGUUGAAAACCCAAUGCCGACAUGUAUGUGGAGUAAUAGUACAAUGUCCUCUAUUCUAACACUAUUUCUCUUUCUACAUAAAAUAAAAAUAAUAAUUUUUAGACAUUUUAAAUCUCACUCAAUACUUUGUGAAAAUAAUUAAAAUUUAUAUAUUUAGAUGUAAAUAAAAACAAAAAAAAAAUUAGUAGAAAGUAUUUUAGUAUUUUACAGCAUUUUUAAAAUGGGUAUUUAAAAAUUAUUACUCUUUUGCUUAAAUAAAAUAAAUAAUUUUUUUAAGGGUUUAGUUCUUAAAUUAACUCCGUUAAAUAGAAUACAUAAUUUUUUUUGUAAACUUUAUGUUUGAUUUAUAUAAAUAAAUAAUCCUUUUAACUAUUUUUUUUUGUUUUGAAGUUAAAAACUGGUUGCGUACAGUUUGGUGAAGCUUUUGUCGUUUGUGGUUGUUCCUUUACACUCUUUUGAACGUGCAAAAUAUGUUUAAUUAGAACAGAACAUUUGGAUAAUGUUUGACCAGAAUAUUUUAAUACCUUUUUAUUUAUUUAAAAUAAACACUAAUUUUAAUGUAUAUGUUCUUCGAUGAGUCGGAAUAUUUAUAUACGCCUGUACAAAAUUAUGUUAUUCAUAAUUAACGUGAAGUCGUAACUAUAUAAAUUCUAAAAUAUUAGGAAUAAUUUAUAAUAAAAAAUUAAUUUUAGGUGAUUUUUUAAAUGUAAUUUUAAUUGAUCAAAGUUAUAUAAUUGAUGAAAUUAUUGAUGGAUUUUCAUGAUUAAUUUGUUCCAAAAUUUUACUAUUAAAUCUGGAAGCUAUUUACAUUCAAUAUAUUCGUUAACUUGGUUAAUAACAAAUAAAAAUUCAAAAUAAUUUCAAUUUAAAAAAGUUACUAUUUGGAUUUUGUAUUUGUAUACAUAAUAAAGUAGUUUGUUCACUUCAAGUCUUCUUCUUUAAUUGUUGGUGUUAGGUUGAAAGGUUGACUGAAAAAGUUACUCUGACGAUCAAGUAAUUAUUUUGUGUUAAAAGUGUAUAGUGAAAACUGAUUAAAGUGUAUCUUACACAUUUGUCUCUGUAGAGGGUUUAUUUAUAGUGUUUAAUCAUGAACUUUUGUUGUGAUGGAUUGAAUCUAUCAAAUAUUAGUGUUAAUUGAUUUCUAGCAUGAUCAUUGAUUUAUAGGGAGAUAUAUUUGUAUAUUUGGAAAAUAUAUUUAAUAAGUCAAUAUUUUCCACUAAAUCAGUGUUAGUUGGUUUUUAGGGGAUGUCACCCAAAAUCGGUGGGACAUUUUUUUUAUCGACAAAAAGGAAUGGAAUAAAUGAAGGUAUUUCAGGAUACCUCAACCUUAUACAAAAACAACGACGUCCUUCACCCUACCACUCACAUUGAGAGCUUUAAAGUGGACAACACGAGGGAAAGUUUGUCGUCUACCCAUACUCAAAUACAAAAAACAACACCUCUAACUUGAGUCAAAUCAGCUCAACUUGACCUCCCCCCUCUAACCUUUUCUAUUUUUUAUUGACCUCAUGCGUACCAAAGGUUCAAGACACCAAUCUAAGUAAGAAAAAAACAUGCUAAACGUACCUUCGAGAUGACCCAUGACCAAACCUGCAGCUGCGCCAUUGUGAAGAUUUCUAUGUGAUCCAUGCGUCCAUUCUUGAAAACCUUUGUUUCCAAAUUUCGCCUAUAACUGCUAUCCACACACAAUUCCAGAUCCGGUUAAUACCUUUGCUUUCCUCGUUCAUCCUGAAGUGAGACAAAAGUAUUUUUGAAUCCUGAUGAACCAUCGCUGUCCUGCCCACCCACUCAAAGCACUUUGCCCAAACCAACCACGCUACCCUACACGUACUAAAUAGAGAUGAAGCGUUGUUUCAAUCCUCCCCACACAUAUUACAUAUGCUACUCUCCACCGUGAUCCCCUCCGUUAGUUUUAGUCGCAAUUUUGUUUUCCAACACUCUCCAUGUUGUAACUAAGGCUGAUGUGGUUGAGCCUUAAUCUCCAUAACCCCUUGUGUAGGUCAGAACCUUCCCCCUGUAGCUCCCCUUUUAGGACUCUAUAAACAUACUAGAUUGUAAAACUUGUAUCAUCACUUUCUUUCCAGACCCACUUAUCCUCCUUAUCUUUGGUAUGCACCAGGUCAAUAAAAAAUAAGAAAGGUUAGAGGGGAGAGGUCGGUUUGACUCAAGUUAGAAGUGUUAUUUUCAUAUUUGGGUAUGGAUAAACAACAAACUUUCCUCCGUAUUUUACGUUUUAAAGCUUUCAAUGUGAGUGGUAGACUGAAAAAUAUCGUUAUUUAUUCUAUUUUUUUAUCACUAAAAAAAUACAUAAUCACAUAUUAAUAUCAUCCAUCAAUCACCUAAAUUGAAUAAUUGGCUCGUGCAAUUCCGAAGUACAGAUCUAAAUAACAUUUUGAACAAUGUGUGAAUUGUUUUUGGAACUAGAUUUAUCUGCAACAUGUAACUUUUUGGAACACACAAAAAAACAAGAUAUACAAUACAAUAAUUGAAUAUGAUCAGAAACUCUUAUAUCACAUCCAUUACAUCAUCAAUCAUACACAUUUUUUUAACAAUGAUUACAAUAUUUCUCACUUCGCUAAAGACAUCACACAUAAAUGUAUACAAAAAUCAAGAUUUGUCGAUUUUUUAAGAUAUUUAUUGAGUUAGUCUGUUUGAGAUUAACACUUCAUGUAUGAUUAGAGUUUAUUGAACAUAAAUAAUUAUUUAUAUACAAUAACGAUAUCUUUUUUGCAUAGACUUUAAAAAAAAUGUUGUGUAAGAAUUUUUAUCAAUUUUCAACACCUAAAACAUUUAUUUACGUACAUGAUUUUUAGUUAUCAAUAAAACUUGAAUGUUUUAUUUUUAUACUAAUUUCUUAAUUUAAUACUCAUGUUAUAUUCAAACUAAUGACAAUAUUAUAUAAUAUUAUAUAUAAGGUUGAAAGUGUUGAUUAUUAAUUCAGAUUUUAUUAUUAUUAAUUUAAAUUUUAUUACUUUUAAACUAUUUUGACUCCUAUUAUUACAUUAAUGAUCAAUUUUCAUAGUAUUUCUAUUUUAUAGUUUUCAAGUAAUUAUAAUUUUAUAAUAUAUACUGUUGAAGUAAAUUAAAAUGAAUAAGAUCUAGUCGGCAGUUUUGCAAUGUGCAAUUACCUUCAAUUAGUUUAUACAACUUUUUUUUUUUCAAUUAGUUUCUACAGAAAUUGUCACGUUUAAUUAAUUAAUUUAUUUAUUGUUAGUAGGGAUCUCUGUUAUGCUGGAUUUUUGUUUUGAAGUGAUAUUUUCUGUAAUGAGCAAACAACAACGUGUAGGCGAAGCAGAAUGUGGAUAUAGUUUCAGUAUUUUAGGCAUAUGAUAAUUUGGGAUAUUUUAACCCUUUACAUACAUUAUCUUGUUCUUCUUAGAAAUCAAAAAGUCAAAUGAUAGUCUAAGAAUUUUUGUUUCAUAAAACUCUAAAAUCCUUCGUAAGUAUUUGAGACAAAAAUAGCAGUACUUAAAACAACUUAGUACUUUCCAAAUGAUUAUGGAUUAAUUUUUAAUUAUUUUUUUUUCAAAUUAAGAUAGAAACAUUUGAUACUUGUAUAAUCGAAUUAAGCAUAAUUGAUUAUAUUAAAAAAAAUAGCUUUUCAGAAUCGAUUAUUAUAUGAAAUAAUUAAUUAUGUGUUAAUAAAAUGAGAUCUAGUUUUAGUUCAGAAUUACGAGCUUAACAUAACUAACUAUAUGUUCAUAAAAAAUAACUUUUAAUGUAAAUUUGAUUAAAACUUUUUAAAGAUUGAUUUAAAUUUUAUAUUUAUUUAAAUUAAAAGAACACCAAAUAAUGAAUGUACGUCUAUUCAUUAACUAGGUGUACAUUUAUCAUCAAAUCAUCAACACCCUAUCAAUAAUAAAUAAUGUAUUACAUAAGUAAAGGGAUAACAAUUUCCAUCUACAAAUAAGAAAAAUAGUACUAGUCAUUCAUGUUACAACCAUGUGCUUAAUUGAUAGUAGAAUACAUUUCUACCAAAUAUUUCAUAAUUACUUACUAAACCCUUCCUACACAAAUCUUCUAUUUAUUUUUAUGUUUUAAAGCUUUGGUUCUUUUAGAUUUCUAAAAUGUAUUAUAGAAGAUAAAAAAAAUUCUAACAAGUAUUUGUGCAUUUUUUUUUUCAAUUACACAGUAGUAAAUAAAACUAUUUUUUACAGGAGUAUUACUAACUUUUAUAUUUACCAAUACUUAUAAUGAAGUAAUGCUAUCUCUUAUCUUUAGAAAUUUAUUUCUUAUAUAUGAGAUAAAGAUAACAUAUUUUUAUGAUGCUUUUUAUAAAUUAAUAUUUGUUUAGUGAUAAAAUAUUUUAUAAUAUUUAUGAUUAUAAUUUUUAAAUUUAUUUAUUUAUAGAUAAAUGAUUUUUAUUAUUAGAUUUUAUUCUCAUAUUAGAUAUUCUAUUAUUAUUCUUAUAUUAUAUGUAAAUAUUCUCAACUAAGUUUAAAGUAAAAUAAAUUAAAUGCAUUUACAUUCAUUAUGCUGAAUAAUGUAAUUUUCAAAAUAUUUUGAAAUGUAUGGUUAGAUUAAUAUAAUAAAUAAAUAGUAUAGUAAAAAGAGAGAAAAAACUGAUUUAACUUUACUUUAUGUAAAACGAGUAGUAAUGACAUUUAAUAAUGUUUUAAUAUUAAAAAUAAAAUAAAUAUAAAAAGUUAAAAAUUACCAUUUUAAAUAAUAUCACUUGAAAUAGUAUUUUUUUUAAAGAAAUUAUAAACUACUUAAAAAAUAUUUUUCAAACUUAUUAAAAAAGUCAAUGUAAGUUUUAUAAUUUAAAAACUAAAAUCUAGUUAGAAAUGUUUGGAAAACAUCCACUUAACAUGUAUGUAAUAUAAGUCAUUGUGUACAAUCUUCAUAAUUAGGAUGUUUUUGGGUUUUUACCAAUUUUUUUUUAUCAACAAAGAAUAAAUAAAAUAAAAAGAGAUAAGAGACUUUUUAGCAAUUUAAUCAAUAACUAAAUACAAGUGCAUUUAAUUUAGUGUUUACAAAACCUAAAAAGUUGACUAAACUGUUCAAACUUAAAAUGAAUUAUUCAACACGAAACUAAACAUAAGAAUAUAUAUUUAUCUAAAAUAUUUAACUGUAAUAUUUUUAGUAUCAAUGCAUACUACUCCAACUCCUCCACUACUAUCUGGUAUUUAUUUAACAGUAAAAAAAAACUUAAACUCUAAACUUAAAAAAGAAAAUACUUAAAGAGUGAUUUUGAAUAACCUAUCGUGAAACCAAACACCUACUGCAAAUAAAUAUUUUUUUUAACAUUGUAUUUUUUAUCAACAAUAAAAAAAAAUAAGAAUAAUUUUAGAAAUGAUCCAACUAUUAUAAAAAAAUCACAUAGAAACAAACACUUUUCUUCAAAAAUUUGUUACUAACUUUCUAUUAAAGAUGAAAACAAAUAAAUCAGAUUAAUACCUUAUUCCAAUGUUUUAAAAUAAAAGUCCUAGAAAUUCAAAAUCUCUUAAUAAAAAACACACAUUUCAAAGAAUAAGACAUUGAAUAACAUGUUUUUCUUAUUCAGAUUAAUGUUUAAAACCAAAACCAUUGGUUUGUAUUAGGUCAAUAAAAAAGGAAUAGUUUAAAGAGAGAGGUUGAGUUGAGCAAGAGUGUUCCAGAUUAGAGAUAAUGUUUUUUAGAUGUGGAGCUUGCAUCUCUCGUGUUGUCUACUUUAAAGUUCACUAUGCGAAUAAUAAACUAAAGGAUGUCGUUGUCUUUAUACAAGAGUGGAUGUGUCCCUAAACUAUCUUGAUUUUUAUUCAUUCUAUUUUUACCAAUAAAAAAUUGAACAAGAAAAACAAGUAAAUAUCCCACCAAAGGCAUAGCUUAAGUUGAGCAAAAGAGACUUUGUUCAAUAGACCGCUGUCUAAAAGUUUAAAACCUAUGUCAGAUUUAACUUUUUCUUUUAGAUACAAAGCAUUUUAACUUUCCUCUGAACAGUGCAUGUGGUUUAUUUUCUACAUCUUAUAUUAUCAUAUCUGUCAUUUUUUGUUUUUAUGUUAAAUCAUUGUCCUUUCUUGUCAUUUACCCUGAAUUUUUGUGAGUGUUUUGUCACCCUCCAUUCGUCUUUUUAUGCAUUUUCAGAAGUUGUCCUCAACAAAAAACUGAGCACAUUAUUACUCAUAGCAGAAAAUUAUGGUGGAACUUGCUACUUAUCUAUAAAUAGCCUCUUUGCAGGCACAAGGGUCUCCCACAGCAUCUGUAGAAAGAAGAGUGUGCUGUGUUGGAGCAGUCAUGUUUAAGGGCAAUACCUCAAAGGUUCACCAAGUGAAGGGGACAGUGGUUUUGAUGAGCAAGAAUGCAUUGGACUUCAACAAAGAUGGUGCCACUGCCAUCUUCAGCCCUGACUUUUCCAUAAAGCUUAUCAGUUCUAACAGGGUUGAUGGUUUGUUUCUUCCUUUUCUCAUAUAAACCAUGCAAAAUAUAACAUACACAUACAUAUAUCUUUAUUAAACAUUCCAUUAAUAUUUAUAGUUUUUCCUUUUAUCUGUCUUCAUUGGGGAGUGAAAAAACAAUUCAUUCAUCAUCCUCCUACAUCAUUAAAAAAAAAAACACAAAAACUAAUUUUAAAUACUAAAUUAGAAACCAUUUUAAUACUAAAACAAUUUUUAAUUUAUAAAUUAAUUUUUAUUAUUAUUAGAUAGUUUCUAAAUUGAUAUCUAAUUAGAUUUUUUUUACCAAAUAUGAUGUAAAUUUAAAAAUUAUUUAACAAUAAUAAAAAUUAAUUAGAAACCAAAAAUUAUUUUAAUAUUGAAAAUGAUCUCAAAUUUAGUUAUAGAAUAAUUAAUUAUUUUAAUUAUUUUUUAUGUAUAAAAUUGAUUUCUAUUUAAUCUUAUGAUUGACUAAUGAUCUCCAUCUAUCCUUUUUUUAAAUCUAAGUCAUGCUUCCAAUAAUCAGUACUAUUUCAUAUUUUAUGAGACUUUUUAUAUGUUUUCUUUAUAAAAUAUUGCAAGAAAUCAGUUUUCUUGUGAAUUUUUCUAUGGAUUUUGUACAGUCUGAAAAAAAUAUGUGCAUGAACUUUUUUAUGAAAUAUGAAAAAUUGUAGUUGUCAAUAUUUAAUUGAUAAAAAAUAAUCUAACAGUAUUUUGCAUAGUUAAAUCUUUCUUAAUUUUAAAAAAAUAUGGUAUUAAAAUUUCUUUUACAAGUUUUCUUUUUGAUUUUUAUGAAAAUGUAUUUUCUAUUUUGAAAAUAUAUUUUUUUAUAGAUUAUUUGAAUAUCCCAUAUUAGAAAUAAUUAAUGGAUGUAUUACAUUUGAAUUUUAACAAAUGGAGUAAGAUGAAUUGAAAAUUUUAAUUAAUAACAAAAUUAAUGAAUUUUUUUAUCCAAUACAUUAUGAUUUGAAAUAAAAUUUAUCUAACUCAUUAUGUUUGACCCCUUAAUUAAUCACAGUACAUGAGUUUCCACAUUUAUAGCUCUUUCACUUCUCUAGUUUUUUUUUUUCUUCUAAGAUUAUGUUGGAUUUGUUAAAAACAUAUGGGACUGUACAAAACAAAAUUUCUGAUGUUUGCUUUGAAAUAAAUUAAGUGAAGAACAUAAAAGUGUGAAGCUAAUUUCUAUUUGAGCAUUAUUCUUGCUAGGUAUUUUUAAUCGGUUUCCACUUAUGAUAAAAAAAUUCUAGUAUUAGUAUUCUGUCAUUUUAGUGGAUUUGGGGAGAAAAUAUCAAGAAAGAAAAGUAUUUAUGUGAUCGAGAGAAGGUCAGAGAUUUGUAAGUAUUGUGUGUAAAUAAUGAUUUUGCCUCAAUUAUUUAUUUGUUUUUCUUUAUUUUUUAAAUUAUCACUGUCCAUUAAUAAAUAAUUAUUUUUCAUUUUUUCAAUUAAAUUUUCUAAUAAAUAUACACCAAAGAAAAAAAUUACUUCAUAAAAAAUAUUUAACAGGUAGCAAAAUACUAAUAAUUUUGAUUUAAUAUAUUAUUUAUUUUUUAUUAUUUUGCUUUAAUGAAACUAAAUUUAUACAAAUGUGUAUAUGUAAGUAAUUGUUGUUGUUAAAGAGUUUGAUUAGAAAUAAUAAGUUCAAAAUUAUAGAAUAUAAGUAGAUGGAAAUUUCAUCUCACAAUUUGUUAGAUUAAAUUAAAUAAAAACUAAUUUUAUAGACAAAAAAUAAUUAAUUGCUAUCGACUAAAUUAGAAACCAUUUUAAAAACCUAAAAAAUUAUUAGUUUCUAAAUUAGUUUAUAUUAUUGAUAGUUUAUAAAUUGAUAUAUAAUUUAGUCAAUAUAACAACUAAUUAUUUUUAGUGGUUAAAAUUGGUUUUUAUUGAAUAAUUUUCUUAGUUUAGAUAAAUAAUAUGUUAUGGAGAUUAAAAAAAUGUCUUAUUUGAGUUUGAUAAUAUUCUUUAUUUAGGGCAUAAGAAUGGGAAGGUUGGAAAGGAAACCUCUCGGGACAAAAAUCAACCUGCUUCUUCGUUACCAACCUUGGGAGAGGGAAAAACUGCAUUCAAUAUUUCUUUUAAAUUGGAUGAAAGUUUUGGAAUUCCAGGAGCAUUCUACAUCAAAAAUUUAAAGCAACCUGAGUUUUUCCUUGUGACUCUCACUCUUGACAUUCCAGAUCAUGGAACCAUU
RNAcentral lists this long non-coding RNA (17506 nucleotides) under Phaseolus vulgaris (common bean). Its description in RNAcentral is "long non-coding RNA (PVUL_LNC000922)". The record is from RNAcentral. Lineage: Eukaryota; Viridiplantae; Streptophyta; Magnoliopsida; Fabales; Fabaceae.